This is a long non-coding RNA of Passer montanus (Eurasian tree sparrow), 2405 nucleotides long. RefSeq lists it as uncharacterized. The record is from RefSeq and is a predicted model, not a curated record. NCBI's taxonomy places the organism in Eukaryota, Metazoa, Chordata, Aves, Passeriformes, Passeridae. The transcript has 3 exons.
GUUUUUCCUGAGAAGCUGUGCAGGCCACAGGCUUGGCUGGACCUGGCUGGGGUUGCUUCUCCUUUAUUGUGUGUACAGAGAUGGGGCACACGUGUGGAGUGAUGUUUUCCUCUGUUGGAUGCUCUAGUCAAGGAAAUGGGCUGCUGAUAAGGGAAGGAGCUGCACAGGCAGGACUGCCUGGCGCGCUCAUCGCUGGGAAGAUGCGACUUCCUCUGAACUCUCAGGAAGAGAGGAGGCAGAAGUCCAAGAAAAGCCAGGCUUUUGCAAUGCAAGCAGAGGUCUGAGCCUGUCCCAGCUCCAGGUCCAGCAGGACUCGGGGGAACCUUAAACUAUGAAGGGCAGUGACACAACACUGCUGUUGGAAUCCAGUCCCCAGUGGCAUGCCUGAAACUCUCCUGGGAAACUUCCACAUCCCACAAAAUCAAAGAAGGUCAAACCCUGCCUGGAAGCAACAUAACUUCAUUAUUCCAAGUUCACAGGUGAUAAAUUUGGUGUCCUUGGCCAGAUGUGAGAUAUAUUCAGAGUCAUCUUUACCUAAAGAAACAGUGGUGCUCUUGUUCUGGGCAGAUCCUCAGGUCAUGCCCUCCUUUGCAGCCUUCUGGUCCAGCAGCUGUUCAUGCCUGUGGCCCCUUGGUCAUGGGUGUCAUCUCCACUGUGAAUGCAGCUCCUUGAUGAGAGCUAGGAAGUGUCAAAUGAGAUUUCAGUGCAGGGAACAAAAACAUGCAGCUGGAAAAUAAGUCAGGAGGACUUUUCACCAAGGAAAAGGCUCUCUGUGGCUGGGUCUCCUGCCCAGCUCCAAGCUGCUGAGCUUCCUUGGCAUCACCCUCCAACCCUCUCUCCCCUCUGUGCUGAUUUGCAGCCCUGUUACAUCUUUGUACACAUGAUCUGAUGUGGCCAGAGAUCCCCCAGCAGCCUUGGUUUUCCUCUGACCCAUCAUAUGGCAGAAAUUUAAGAUGGCUUAAGUAGAUUUUGUUUAUUUAUUCUGCACCUCAGCCAUCAGAGACUGCCAGUGCCAGGGUGUGAAUUACAGUAAAAUAAAUAAAUGCACUAAUUGCUGCUGCUUUAUAUUGGAAAUAAUUCUUGCUUAUGAAAACAUCUCAAAAGGUGUAGAAAGGAGACACAUCUGCUCCAGACCAGGCAAAUCAACUGUCUUAAUGAACCAUUAACACAGGCUGUCAAAAAACCCACUCUGAACCAAGGUGAAGUUCCCACAUUGGUCUCUGAGCCUGGGGUGAAGCUCAUGAUGUUCAUCUUAUUGCAAGCACAGGACUGUUGGUGGAACAGUGUGAACAGAAAUAGAGGAAGAGCAAAGCAAGGGAGAGGUAACUCAAGUUUAUGCUGUGAAGGAAUUCACACCCACUGGAGUUGUAUGCAUGGCUGUAACCACGUUCUGCUGCAGCCCCCGAGCCAAAAAAUUGACAAAAAAAGAAAGGAUGGGAUGUGGGGAGGAGGGGAAAUGUUAAUCACCAUCUUUCCUUUCCUAUAAAUGUGUUAAUGGUUUAGUAAGUGUUUCCAAAAAUGUCUGUGUGGGAUUAAAAUAGAAGCCAUGGCCAAGUUUGAAAUGAGCUCUUGGAUGGGGAGCAGACAGGGGGGUAAAUCCUGGUGAUCCCAUCCAAGGCACAGGGAAAUGUCCAGCACAGGAGGAUGGAGAGGGUGAAGUGUUUGUGCUGGGAACUUUCUGUUGGCUCUUUGGGGAGCUUGGUCAUCCCAGCAAGUGGGAACAGUGCUCCACAUAAUCAAAAAGUACCACCUACCAAAGCAUGUGAGGGUUGCCAUGGAAAUCAGGAGUUGUUACUGAAAAAGCAGGAAAAUCAUGAAUGAUCUGGAAAACCAUGGAUUUUUGGAGCUUCCUGUCCUCUGCUAUGUAAAACCCCAGCCCAGACUGUUGAAUUCCUUUCUGGGAGGAUUUUGCCCCUGCUGCUGCAGCUGCACAGGACAGCAGGUUGUACAUGCAUUUAUGGGGGCACAUAACCCACGCUCUUCAUUGCAGCUCUGGCCCACUGACUGCUCCAGAGGAUGGGUAGGAACUGAAACCAGGGAUGGAAAUUACCUGGAUGGAAACCUCUGCUGUGGGUCACAGCAGGGUGUGACAAGCCCCAGGCAGAAAAGCCCCCAAAUUAUCCAUGAGUAUCUCAUCUGGAAGACUUGUCCAGACCUGUUCCCAGGGAAGAGAGUGAACCAGGAGAGAGGAUCAGAAAGCUGGGGACAGACUCCAUAACUCACCAGUGGCUGGUGGAGGAUCCCCUCCAUGAAAAGGGUGGGAGGGGGUGUAACUUGCCAGAGGAUCUCGGAAAACACUCUUGUUCCAGUAUCCACAACAUUCAGAGACUGACAGCCAUGGUGAGCAGGAAAGACUCAGGAACUGGCUCCAGGACAGAUCAGAUGGAAGCCAUUCUUAAACGAAC